GAUGCAGUACUUCGACGGUAGAGCUUUCGCGUCUUAUGCGAAAAGACCCGGGUUCGACUCCCGGCUGCUUUG
Molecule: transfer RNA, 72 nt
Filed under: Toxocara canis (dog roundworm)
Lineage: Eukaryota; Metazoa; Nematoda; Chromadorea; Rhabditida; Toxocaridae
Rfam family: tRNA
About the family: Transfer RNA (tRNA) molecules are approximately 80 nucleotides in length.
Source: Rfam by way of RNAcentral